UGAGGAAUUUUGCGCAAUGGGAGCAAUCCUGACGCAGCAACGCCGCGUGGGUGAUGAAGGCCUUCGGGUCGUAAAGCCCUGUCAGGUGGGAAGAAUGUCACGGGACUGAACAGGUACCGGGAGUGACGGUACCACCAGAGGAAGCACCGGCUAACUCCGUGCCAGCAGCCGCGGUAAUACGGAGGGUGCAAGCGUUAUUCGGAAUUACUUGGCGUAAAGCGCGUGUAGGCGGUCCUGCAAGUCUGAUGUGAAAGCCCCGGGCUUAACCCGGGAAGUGCAUUGGAAACUGUGGUACUUGAGUACUGGAGAGGAUGGUGGAAUUCCCGGUGUAGAGGUGAAAUUCGUAGAGAUCGGGAGGAAUAUCAGUGGCGAAGGCGCCCAUCUGGACGGUAACUGACGCUGAGACGCGAAGGCGUGGGGAGCAAACA
RNAcentral lists this ribosomal RNA (428 nucleotides) under uncultured prokaryote. Its description in RNAcentral is "bacterial SSU rRNA". It matches the Rfam family "Bacterial small subunit ribosomal RNA", at positions 355 to 774 of the family's 1533-position model. The record is from RNAcentral.